UACGGCCGCAAGGUUGAAACUCAAAGGAAUUGACGGGGGCCCGCACAAGCGGUGGAGCAUGUGGUUUAAUUCGACGCAACGCGAAGAACCUUACCAAGGCUUGACAUCCUGCGAACCUUUCAGAGAUGAGAGGGUGCCCUUCGGGGAACGCAGAGACAGGUGGUGCAUGGUUGUCGUCAGCUCGUGUCGUGAGAUGUUGGGUUAAGUCCCGCAACGAGCGCAACCCUUAUCCCUAGUUGCCAGCGAGAGAGUCGGGGACUCUAGGGAGGCUGCCCGGGACGACCGGGAGGAAGGCGGGGAUGACGUCAAAUCAUCAUGCCCCUUAUGUCUUGGGCUACACACGUGCUACAAUGGGCGGUACAAACCGAAGCGAAGCCGAGAGGUGGAGCGAACCGGAGAAAGCCGUUCCCAGUUCGGAUUGCUCUCUGCAACUCGAGAGCAUGAAGGCGGAAUCGCUAGUAAUCGCGGGUCAGCAUACCGCGGUGAAUACGUUCCCGGGCCUUGUACCCCCCGCCCGUCU
RNAcentral lists this ribosomal RNA (520 nucleotides) under Heliobacillus sp. JHB31. RNAcentral describes it as "bacterial SSU rRNA". It matches the Rfam family "Bacterial small subunit ribosomal RNA", at positions 881 to 1399 of the family's 1533-position model. Lineage: Bacteria; Bacillati; Bacillota; Clostridia; Eubacteriales; Heliobacteriaceae. The record is from RNAcentral.